RNAcentral lists this ribosomal RNA (842 nucleotides) under uncultured Spirochaetota bacterium. RNAcentral's name for it is "bacterial SSU rRNA". It matches the Rfam family "Bacterial small subunit ribosomal RNA", at positions 586 to 1442 of the family's 1533-position model. The record is from RNAcentral. Lineage: Bacteria; Pseudomonadati; Spirochaetota.
AGUCUGAUGUGAAAGCACACAGCUCAACUGUGAUGUUGCGUUGGAAACUGUUUGACUUGAAUCCGAGNGGGGUGUGUGGAAUUCCUAGUGUAGGGGUGAAAUCUGUUGAUAUUAGGAAGAACACCAGAGGCGAAGGCGACACACUGGCUCUGGAUUGACGCUGAUGUGCGAAAGCGUAGGUAGCGAACAGGAUUAGAUACCCUGGUAGUCUACGCCGUAAACGAUGUACACUUGGUGUCUGUUGUUUUGACGAUAGGUGCCGUAGCUAACGCGUUAAGUGUACCGCCUGGGGAGUAUGCCGGCAACGGUGAAACUCAAAGGAAUUGACGGGGGCCCGCACAAGCGGUGGAGCAUGUGGUUUAAUUCGAUGAUACGCGAGGAACCUUACCAGGGUUUGACAUAUACGUGACAGUUCUAGAGAUAGGAUUUUCUCUUUUGAGACAUGUAUACAGGUGCUGCAUGGUUGUCGUCAGCUCGUGCCGUGAGGUGUUGGGUUAAGUCCCGUAACGAGCGCAACCCUUGUCUUUAGUUCGAUAGUCUAAAGAAACUGCCGAUAAUAAAUCGGAGGAAGGUGAGGAUGACGUCAAGUCAGCAUGCCCCUUAUAUUCUGGGCGACACACGUGCUACAAUGGUUAAGACAAUGGGAUGCAAACUUGUAAAAGGAAGCUAACCUCAAAAACUUAAUCGAAGUUCGGAUUGUCGACUGAAACUCGUCGACAUGAAGCUGGAAUCGCUAGUAAUCGCCGGUCAGCCACACGGCGGUGAAUACGUUCUCGGGCCUUGUACACACCGCCCGUCACGUUAGGGAAGCUGANUAUGCCCGAAGUCAUUGAUUUAACCUU